Molecule: non-coding RNA, 968 nt
Filed under: Circaetus pectoralis (black-chested snake-eagle)
Lineage: Eukaryota; Metazoa; Chordata; Aves; Accipitriformes; Accipitridae
Description: 12S ribosomal RNA
Rfam family: Bacterial small subunit ribosomal RNA
Source: RNAcentral
AAAAGACUUAGUCCUAACCUUACCGUUAAUUCGUGCUAAACAUAUACAUGCAAGUAUCCGCGUCCCAGUGUAAAUGCCCCCGAUUUCUUACCAGAAUGACAGGAGCGGGCAUCAGGCACACCCACCUGGCCGUAGCCCAAGACGCCUUGCUCAGCCACACCCCCACGGGUACUCAGCAGUAAUUAACAUUAAGCAAUGAGUGUAAACUUGACUUAGUUAUAGCACCCUCAGGGCCGGUUAAUCUUGUGCCAGCCGCCGCGGUCAUACAAGAAGCCCAAAUUAACAGCAUUCGGCGUAAAGAGUGGGUGCCCGCUAUCCAGGCGAUUAGAGUUAAACCGCAGCUAAGCUGUCAUAAGCCCAAGAUGCGCUUAAAGCCACCUAAUUGACCCUAAUGCCUACGACCAACUAACCCCCACGAAAGCCAGGGCACAAACUGGGAUUAGAUACCCCACUAUGCCUGGCCCUAAAUCCUAAUACUUACCCUACCAAAGUAUUCGCCUGAGAACUACGAGCACAAACGCUUAAAACUCUAAGGACUUGGCGGUGCCCCAAACCCACCUAGAGGAGCCUGUUCUAUAAUCGAUAACCCACGCUACACCCUGCCACCCCUUGCCCAAGCAGCCUACAUACCGCCGUCGUCAGCUCACCUCCCCUGAAAGACCAACAGUGAGCCCAAUAGCCCGAUCCGCUAAAAAGACAGGUCAAGGUAUAGCCCACGGGGUGGAAGAAAUGGGCUACAUUUUCUAAAAUAGAAAACCUCACGGAAAGGGACAUGAAACCACCCCUGGAAGGCGGAUUUAGCAGUAAAAUGGGACAAUAAAGCCCUAUUUAAGCUGGCCCUGAGGCACGUACAUACCGCCCGUCACCCUCCUCGCAAGCUACAGCUCUACAUAAUUAAUAACCCAAUCAGCUGAAGAUGAGGUAAGUCGUAACAAGGUAAGUGUACCGGAAGGUGCACUUAGCACACC